This is a long non-coding RNA of Chiloscyllium plagiosum (whitespotted bambooshark), 566 nucleotides long. RefSeq lists it as uncharacterized. The record is from RefSeq and is a predicted model, not a curated record. Lineage: Eukaryota; Metazoa; Chordata; Chondrichthyes; Orectolobiformes; Hemiscylliidae.
UUGUGAAAGGAGCAGCAUUGUCACAUUAAUUACAAUGAGUUUUCCGAACCUAAUGGAGUCCUACAUGUGGAUUGUAUAGGCACUCUGUCCAAAAAUGAUGAAGCCAUUACCAGUGAGACGUUGAAAUUAUCUUCUCUAGCCAAUGACAAUUAUACCUGUUCAACAAAUGGGGCUGAAGCGGAGCACCUCAUUGUAUAUAAUUCUCCCUCAGCCUGUCAGAAUUGUGUACCCAAGGAUUUCGGGGGAAUAGCUGGGGUUGUCAUUGCAAGUCUCACCUUCACCAUCUUGAUCGCCGUUGCUGUUUAUUCUGUAUCAGCACAGGACAAAACGUGGAGUCACCAAGCCUCUGACAGACACCCACUGAUGCGCAAUGAUGUUAAUGAGGCAGUGUAUUCGCAUCUUAACAACGAUAACCGAGCCAUGUACAGUGAGCUGGGGAGAAGGGCCAGGCACUGAAGGAAUCCACACCCUGCAGCAUAAAGGCUUUAUCCACUUAGCAACCGAAUCGUGGAGCUUCAACAACCUAUCUGUGCUUUAGAACUUUAAAAUAAAUAGUUUGUUGAGUA